Molecule: ribosomal RNA, 542 nt
Filed under: uncultured bacterium
Lineage: Bacteria
Description: bacterial SSU rRNA
Rfam family: Bacterial small subunit ribosomal RNA
Source: RNAcentral
GAGGAAUAUUGGUCAAUGGGCGAGAGCCUGAACCAGCCAAGUAGCGUGCAGGAAGACGGCCCUAUGGGUUGUAAACUGCUUUUAUGUGGGGAUAAAGUGAGCUACGUGUAGUUUAUUGCAGGUACCACAUGAAUAAGGACCGGCUAAUUCCGUGCCAGCAGCCGCGGUAAUACGGAAGGUCCAGGCGUUAUCCGGAUUUAUUGGGUUUAAAGGGAGCGUAGGCCGUGGAUUAAGCGUGUUGUGAAAUGUAGACGCUCAACGUCUGAAUUGCAGCGCGAACUGGUUCACUUGAGUAUGCACAACGUAGGCGGAAUUCGUCGUGUAGCGGUGAAAUGCUUAGAUAUGACGAAGAACUCCGAUUGCGAAGGCAGCUUACGGGAGCACAACUGACGCUGAAGCUCGAAGGUGCGGGUAUCAAACAGGAUUAGAUACCCUGGUAGUCCGCACAGUAAACGAUGGAUGCCCGUUGUUAGUUCACUUAAGAAUUAGCGACCAAGCGAAAGCAUUAAGCAUCCCACCUGGGGAGUACGCCGGCAACGGUG